CCCAUUUUUCUUUCUCCAUCCUUCUUCAAGUUCGGUCCCAGUUCCUUCUUCUUCUUAAUUCGGUUUCUUCUCCAAGCUCUGGUCCUUUGAGAGCUCUUCUUCCUCAAGAAUUCGAACAAGAUUAGAACUCCUCAACCCCUUUAAAUUCUUCACUGAUUCCUUCCUCUCUUCUUCCUAUUUGGAUUCGAGCAAAGGAGAAAAUCCCAAUCUAGGGUUUCGGCCAAUUGAGCUCUUCUUCCCCUUUCAAGCUUCAAGAACUUAGAUUAGCUAUGUCGACGCUUUGGACCGGCUGGAGCGCGAAUUCCGACGGUUACAAGAGUUGAAGACUGCUGGUAGCUCAACGUACACAGCCAUUUGGAUGGAAUCUCGUCUACAAGCAUGGCACGACACUCGGGCUUCGGCUGGACUUGAGAUUCAAACGCAACAAAGUCGGGUGGAUCAAAUGGAGGCCUUGGCUAUCUUGGGGAUGGCGAAGGGUGACUUGGAGCGUUCACGAGUUGUGAUAUCCGGAAAAUUGGAGCUCUCGAAACAGAAGUUAGCCAAGAUCCAACAAGAGGCUGCGAAAACAUUAUCCCUCACCGAGGAAUCCUUCAAGGUUGCAUUGCAGUGUGAGCUUGAGCGAACUUAUACAGAGGAAUUGACUAAACUUGAACAGCAAGCCUGUAGUCACAAACUUCAUGUAGAUUGAUUGUAACUCUUGUACCUGCAAACUCAAUUUUAUUAAUAGAAAAUAUGUCUUUUUCAUUCAUUA
Molecule: long non-coding RNA, 751 nt
Organism: Asparagus officinalis (garden asparagus)
Lineage: Eukaryota; Viridiplantae; Streptophyta; Magnoliopsida; Asparagales; Asparagaceae
Exons: 2
Source: RefSeq, a predicted model, not a curated record